Molecule: ribosomal RNA, 700 nt
Filed under: Halorubrum sp. A1BC2
Lineage: Archaea; Methanobacteriati; Methanobacteriota; Halobacteria; Halobacteriales; Haloferacaceae
Description: bacterial SSU rRNA
Rfam family: Archaeal small subunit ribosomal RNA
Source: RNAcentral
AUGGGGAUCGAUUUAGCCAUGCUAGUCGCACGAGUUCAGACUCGUGGCGAAUAGCUCAGUAACACGUGGCCAAACUACCCUUCGGAACACAAUACCCUCGGGAAACUGAGGCUAAUAGUGUAUACCAUACCACCACUGGAAUGAGUGAUGUGCCAAACGCUCCGGCGCCGAAGGAUGUGGCUGCGGCCGAUUAGGUAGACGGUGGGGUAACGGCCCACCGUGCCAAUAAUCGGUAUGGGUCAUGAGAGUGAGAACCCAGAGACGGAAUCUGAGACAAGAUUCCGGGCCCUACGGGGCGCAGCAGGCGCGAAACCUUUACACUGCACGACAGUGCGAUAGGGGGAUCCCAAGUGCACAGGCAUAGCGCCUGUGCUUUUCGGUACCGUAAGGUGGUACCAGAAUAAGGGCUGGGCAAGACCGGUGCCAGCCGCCGCGGUAAUACCGGCAGCCCAAGUGAUGGCCGAUCUUAUUGGGCCUAAAGCGUCCGUAGCUGGCCGCGCAAGUCCAUCGGGAAAUCCACCUGCUCAACAGGUGGGCGCCCGGUAGAAACUGCGUGGCUUGGGACCGGAAGGCGCGACGGGUACGUCCGGGGUAGGAGUGAAAUCCCGUAAUCCUGGACGGACCGCCGAUGGCGAAAGCACGUCGCGAGGACGGAUCCGACAGUGAGGGACGAAAGCCAGGGUCUCGAACCGGAUUAGAU